Molecule: ribosomal RNA, 584 nt
Filed under: Akkermansiaceae bacterium
Lineage: Bacteria; Pseudomonadati; Verrucomicrobiota; Verrucomicrobiia; Verrucomicrobiales; Akkermansiaceae
Description: partial 23S ribosomal RNA
Rfam family: Bacterial large subunit ribosomal RNA
Source: RNAcentral
GGUUGGCAAUCGCGUUUCGAGUGCAUUGGCAUAAGCCUGCCUAACUGCGAGACCUACAAGUCGAGCAGAGACGAAAGUCGGCCAAAGUGAUCCGGCGGUGGAAAAUGGAAUCGCCGUCGCUCAUCGGAUAAAAGGUACCUUAGGGAUAACAGGCUGAUCGCGCCCAAGAGUUCAUAUCGACGGCGCGGUUUGGCACCUCGAUGUCGGCUCGUCGCAUCCUGGGGCUGGAGAAGGUCCCAAGGGUUCGGCUGUUCGCCGAUUAAAGUGGCACGCGAGCUGGGUUCAGAACGUCGCGAGACAGUUCGGUCCUCUAUCCUCUGUGGGCGUAGGAAACUUGAGGGGUUCAAACUCUAGUACGAGAGGACCGAGUUUGACGAGCCUCUGGUGCUCCGGUUGUCGCGUCAGCGGCAUAGCCGGGUAGCUAAGCUCGGAACAGAUAAGCGCUGAAAGCAUCUAAGCGCCAAGCUAUUCCCAAGAUAAAGUUUCCCUGAAGGAUCGUGGAAGACUACCACGUUGAUAGGCUGCUGGUGUAAUCAUGGCAACAUGUUUAGCUUAGCAGUACUAAUAAUCCGUCUGACUUGUUU